RNAcentral lists this ribosomal RNA (219 nucleotides) under Clostridioides difficile. RNAcentral's name for it is "partial 23S ribosomal RNA". It matches the Rfam family "Bacterial large subunit ribosomal RNA", at positions 1325 to 1540 of the family's 2925-position model. Lineage: Bacteria; Bacillati; Bacillota; Clostridia; Peptostreptococcales; Peptostreptococcaceae. The record is from RNAcentral.
GAAUCCCACAGGCCGUAAACCCAAGGUUUCCAGGGGAAGGUUCGUCCGCCCUGGGUUAGUCGGGACCUAAGCUGAGGCCGAAAGGCGUAGGCGAUGGACAACAGGUUGAUAUUCCUGUACUACCGAUAACCGUUUGAGAGAAGGGAUGACACAGUAGGAUAAGCUAAGCACACUGUUGGAUAUGUGUGCCCAAGCAUUGAGGCAGUCAAAGUAGGCAAA